This 466-nucleotide ribosomal RNA is filed under the name uncultured bacterium. Its description in RNAcentral is "partial 16S ribosomal RNA". It matches the Rfam family "Bacterial small subunit ribosomal RNA", at positions 28 to 507 of the family's 1533-position model. The record is from RNAcentral.
GAUGAACGCUGGCGGCGUGCUUAACACAUGCAAGUCGAACGAUGAAGCCCAGCUUGCUGGGUGGACUAGUGGCGAACGGGUGAGUAACACGCGAGUAUCCUGCCCUUGACUCUGGGAUAUGCCUGGGAAACAGGGUCUAUUACUGGAUAUGACUUCUCAUCGCAUGGUGGGGGGUGGAAAGAUUUAUUGGUCUUGGAUGGACUCGCGGCCUAUCAGCUUGUUGGUGAGGUAAUGGCUCACCAAGGCGACGACGGGUAGCCGGCCUGAGAGGGUGACCGGCCACACUGGGACUGAGACACGGCCCAGACUCCUACGGGAGGCAGCAGUGGGGAAUAUUGCACAAUGGGCGCAAGCCUGAUGCAGCGACGCCGCGUGAGGGAUGACGGCCUUCGGGUUGUAAACCUCUUUCAGUAGGGAAGAAGCGAGAGUGACGGUACCUGCAGAAGAAGCGCCGGCUAACUACGUG